UACGUAGGGUGCAAGCGUUGUCCGGAAUUAUUGGGCGUAAAGAGCUCGUAGGCGGUCUGUCGCGUCUGCUGUGAAACUCAGGGCUUAACCCUGAGCUUGCAGUGGGUACGGGCAGACUAGAGUGCGGUAGGGGAGACUGGAAUUCCGUGGUGUAGCGGUGAAAUGCGCAGAUAUCAGGAGGAACACCGGUGGCGAAGGCGGGACUCUGGGCCGAUAUUGACGCUGGAGGAGCGAAAGCGUCGGGGAGCGAACAGG
This 255-nucleotide ribosomal RNA is filed under the name uncultured bacterium. RNAcentral describes it as "partial 16S ribosomal RNA". It matches the Rfam family "Bacterial small subunit ribosomal RNA", at positions 524 to 776 of the family's 1533-position model. The record is from RNAcentral.